UACGUAGGGAGCAAGCGUUGUCCGGAAUCAUUGGGCGUAAAGCGCGCGUAGGUGGCCUCAUAAGUCCGCUGUGAAAGUCAAAGGCUCAACCUUUGAAAGCCGGUGGAUACUGUGAGGCUAGAGUACGGAAGAGGCGAGUGGAAUUCCUGGUGUAGCGGUGGAAUGCGCAGAUAUCAGGAGGAACACCAAUGGCGAAGGCAGCUCGCUGGAACGGUACUGACGCUGAGGCGCGAAAGCGUGGGGAGCGAACAGG
Molecule: ribosomal RNA, 253 nt
Filed under: uncultured bacterium
Lineage: Bacteria
Description: partial 16S ribosomal RNA
Rfam family: Bacterial small subunit ribosomal RNA
Source: RNAcentral